GCCAAAAACUAUUUAUUCAGACGUUUUAUGAUAGCUUGAUUUUAUCAUUAAUAUCAUUGCUUAAACUGCAACAAACACAACAUUCACAACAUCGAUCUGAUAUUGUAUCUAGUGUAGUUUUUUUUUUUACUUAUAGGCAACUAUUGGCUUUACGAUUGUAGCAAAUAACAUUUUUUCAGCUUAAUAUUAAACAUAUUCAUUUUAUUAAAACAAAAUACUAAAAUCACUCAUCAGUAUACAUAUUCAU
This 247-nucleotide long non-coding RNA is filed under the name Mytilus galloprovincialis (Mediterranean mussel). Lineage: Eukaryota; Metazoa; Mollusca; Bivalvia; Mytilida; Mytilidae. The record is from RNAcentral.